Long non-coding RNA from Camelus dromedarius (Arabian camel), 1405 nucleotides. RefSeq lists it as uncharacterized. The record is from RefSeq and is a predicted model, not a curated record. The transcript has 5 exons. NCBI's taxonomy places the organism in Eukaryota, Metazoa, Chordata, Mammalia, Artiodactyla, Camelidae.
CACAUGUUUUCAGUAAGUAGCUGACUCUGUGUCUGUUGCAGCUGACGUCCACCACUGACGGCCGUGUCGUUAGUUUGCCGAGUGAGUCUCCAACACCUAAGUCAGCCGUGUAGGAAGAAGCUUUGACCGACCUAGGACCUUGGAUUUUUACCCCCACUCUGGUUCAUCUCACCUGGGGUGCCCUCACCUCCAGUGGCAUCCAUCCAGACACCAGCACUGACACUGGCUGUGCUCAGAUCUGCCUCAGCCCUGAAGAAACAACUGACAAAUAGAAGGGGGCCAUGCCCUGUUACAGCAGGUGCUCUCACUUUGUGGGUCCUUAUGUAACUGCGCAUUGUUAUUCAGGAUCGCCCAUUCUACAUUGUUUGAAGCUGCUGCGGUGUCUCCUAGUUAUUUGUUUCUGAUCUGAGAAGCAGGAGCAAGGAAUUCAGGGAGAGAUCCAGGAAGACAUCUGACUCUGUUAAGAGACGACAUUCACAGCGACAAGGGGAGCGAAGACACUUGCAGCAAAGCAAAAUGAAUUCACAACGAUUGCAUCAGAGCUGCAGGUGUGAGAGAGCCUAAGCCUGUCUCAGAGUGCAGGGGACAAGUGGAAAGGAAUGUGUAAGAAUGCCGGUGACUCAGUUAGAAGCAUGCUUCGAAGCUGUCCGUGUACUUGCCACCCAGAAGCAGAGCCUGGGGGCUACAGAAUUUCUCCAGAAUGCAGUUUACAUUCACCUUGACAAAUAAGGAGACUGAGGAUUAAGUCUUCUCUCUUUUUGGGGGAGCUCAUUAUCAAUGACUGGAAGUUGUAAGAAAAAAAGAUAUUGAUUCAUCCUGAGAAAACAUUUUUCUGAGAGUCAGCAUUGAAGAAGGUGACCACUGAAGAGGGUGAUCAUUGUUCGAGUGAGACGAGCCCCGUGUGGUACGGAGUCAGCAUCCCAGUCCUGGACACGGCACUGUGCUGCAUGGUGGGUGAGGCGGCGUGGCCGCGCAGGGAACGAGGAUGCCGGGCCGUUGGGCUGUGCUCAGGCCUGGUGAGGCUUUCUCUGAAGAGCAGUGGACCGUCAUUGACAGAUUUUAAGUAGGGGAGUGGGGUGCUCUCGUAGAUCACAUUUGUGUUUGUAGAAUGCUUGCAAACAUUCAGUAGGCUCGGCAGAAAGUGAUGUGACGAAUCAGAGUAGGGUGGCUGCGAGGUGUAGCAGUGUUCAGUUUUCAAGUGGUUUUCAGUCCCAGGUUUGUGGCUCAGUAGCCGUGUCACUUUGGAUGAUGCACUCAAGGAAGUGAAACAAUUUAUCUAAUCAAUUAAAGCAGUGAUGUACCGACUUCCCAAGACUGCUGUGGCAAUCCAGUGAGAUUACGUGUGCGCAGUGUGCAGCGUGGUCCCCAGCACAGAGACAGUGCUGAGUGAGUGCCAUUGAGUACC